Molecule: ribosomal RNA, 409 nt
Filed under: uncultured bacterium
Lineage: Bacteria
Description: bacterial SSU rRNA
Rfam family: Bacterial small subunit ribosomal RNA
Source: RNAcentral
CAGCAGCCGCGGUAAUACGGAGGUGGCAAGCGUUGUUCGGAAUUACUGGGCGUAAAGGGCGCGUAGGCGGCAUGGCAAGUCAGAUGUGAAAGCCCCGGGCUUAACUCGGGAACUGCAUCUGAAACUGCCUUGCUUGAGUCCUGGAGGGGGUAGUGGAAUUCCCAGUGUAGCGGUGAAAUGCGUAGAUAUUGGGAGGAACACCUGCGGCGAAGGCGGCUACCUGGACAGUGACUGACGCUCAGGCACGAAAGCGUGGGGAGCCAAAGGGAUUAGAUACCCCUGUAGUCCACGCCCUAAACGGUGCACACUAGGUCUUGGCGGAUUCGACCCCGCCAGGGCCCAAGCUAACGCGUUAAGUGUGCCGCCUGAGGACUACGGCCGCAAGGCUAAAACUCAAAGGAAUUGACGG